UAAGAGUGCAGAGGAUUAAAUGCGGAAA
Molecule: small RNA, 28 nt
Filed under: Bombyx mori (domestic silkworm)
Lineage: Eukaryota; Metazoa; Arthropoda; Insecta; Lepidoptera; Bombycidae
Description: ovarian small RNA-19173
Source: RNAcentral